GAUGAACGCUGGCGGCGUGCUUAACACAUGCAAGUCGAACGGAAAGGCUCCUGCUUGCAGGGGUACUCGAGUGGCGAACGGGUGAGUAACACGUGGGUGAUCUGCCCUGCACUUCGGGAUAAGCCUGGGAAACUGGGUCUAAUACCGGAUAGGACCACAUUUUGGAUGGUGUGGUGGAAAGCUUUUCGGCGUGGGAUGAGCUCGCGGCCUAUCAGCUUGUUGGUGGGGUAAUGGCCUACCAAGGCGUUGACGGGUAGCCGGCCUGAGAGGGUGUACGGCCACAUUGGGACUGAGAUACGGCCCAGACUCCUACGGGAGGCAGCAGUGGGGAAUAUUGCACAAUGGGCGCAAGCCUGAUGCAGCGACGCCGCGUGGGGGAUGACGGCCUUCGGGUUGUAAACUGCUUUCGCUAGGGACGAAGCGCAAGUGACGGUACCUGGAGAAGAAGCACCGGCUAACUACGUG
RNAcentral lists this ribosomal RNA (465 nucleotides) under uncultured bacterium. RNAcentral's name for it is "partial 16S ribosomal RNA". It matches the Rfam family "Bacterial small subunit ribosomal RNA", at positions 28 to 507 of the family's 1533-position model. The record is from RNAcentral.